This 419-nucleotide ribosomal RNA is filed under the name uncultured Chryseobacterium sp. RNAcentral's name for it is "bacterial SSU rRNA". It matches the Rfam family "Bacterial small subunit ribosomal RNA", at positions 358 to 774 of the family's 1533-position model. The record is from RNAcentral. Lineage: Bacteria; Pseudomonadati; Bacteroidota; Flavobacteriia; Flavobacteriales; Weeksellaceae.
GGAAUAUUGGACAAUGGGUGAGAGCCUGAUCCAGCCAUCCCGCGUGAAGGACGACUGCCCUAUGGGUUGUAAACUUCUUUUAUACUGGGAUAAACCUACUCUCGUGAGGGUAGCUGAAGGUACAGUAUGAAUAAGCACCGGCUAACUCCGUGCCAGCAGCCGCGGUAAUACGGAGGGUGCAAGCGUUAUCCGGAUUUAUUGGGUUUAAAGGGUCCGUAGGCGGACUCGUAAGUCAGUGGUGAAAUCUCAUAGCUUAACUAUGAAACUGCCAUUGAUACUGCGGGUCUUGAGUAAAGUAGAAGUGGCUGGAAUAAGUAGUGUAGCGGUGAAAUGCAUAGAUAUUACUUAGAACACCAAUUGCGAAGGCAGGUCACUAUGUUUUAACUGACGCUGAUGGACGAAAGCGUGGGGAGCGAACA